UUAGCUCCGGUGAGAACCUGCUUUCCUGAACCAGGGGAACGCAUCCGGCAAGCACAAUAGGUUGGCAAGCACAAUAGGUUGUGGUGCAUCUAGAGGGCGGUGUUCAUAUCAAUCGGUGGUGUUCGAUUGUCUAUUAGGGCAGUGGGAAGGUUGUUUUCGCUGUGUCAUUCAAUGGAUACUUCUUGCCAAGUUUUUAGGGAUGGUCAUCGGGCGGUAUGAUGGUGAGUUUGCGGGUUCUGGCGAGGCAGUGAUUGACCAAGAUAAUUUGAAAACUUUCUGUGGUCAUAAAGUAUAGAUGUGGAACUCCAGGAACUGCCAAGAAGAAAGGAAUAACAUGACCAGGAACAUACAUUCAAGAACUGAAGUGUUCAUAGUAAUUAAGAUAGUCGUAGAGUAUUAUUGGCGACAUAUCAUGUGAUUACACCAAGAAUGAUUUGGUUUAGCAUGAUCGUGUUAUGAGUUGUGAUGUCAAACGUACACACCAAGAAUGAUUAAGUUUAGCAUCAUCGUGUUAUGAGUUGUGAUGUAAAGCGUACACACUAAGAAUGAUUGAUCCGGU
RNAcentral lists this long non-coding RNA (559 nucleotides) under Helianthus annuus (common sunflower). Its description in RNAcentral is "hypothetical non coding rna". The record is from RNAcentral. Lineage: Eukaryota; Viridiplantae; Streptophyta; Magnoliopsida; Asterales; Asteraceae.